GUUGAGAUCUGGUGCUUUGUGGUGGGGGUCGGAGAUCAGACUUGAGUCGUCUAUACUCGGGACCUGGACUAAGAAGGUUAGACCUGUGAGUAUGCACACCUCAUUUUUCGGUCUGCUCUCUCUAACCAACGCGAGCAGGGUUAGACCGGAUUCACUACGAGCACUGAAUCGAAGCUCCUCGGCGGAGGUUAGAGCCGCAGGAGAGAGGGACAGGGACUUAGGAUGUCGGAAUUAACACCGGUAGGCAACGCCUACUACCACGAGCGUCGGCGUCGCUCGCGUGGCAGGGAGGUUCCAACCUUUGCGGUCUAGAGUCGACAAUGGACGGCUGUAGGUGCAAGUCGGGGUGCGUAGCAGAAGUCUCGUAGACGUUGUUUCUUAUUACUCUCCUUUGCCUCUGCGAAGGCCUUAGACAGGUUUCCGGGUCGUAAUUAGCGGCCUCUUCAAAGAGGCCCGUUGCCGCUUUUGGGGUGGUGGCAGGAACUAGAGUUACAGCUGCCACUACGAUGAUCGCUACGCUUUUGACGUCCACGGGGUUCCUCACGACAAGAAGUUAGAACGUGAGAGUGUAGGCCGAACGACGAACGUAAUCCAGAGGAAGAAGCACUCCGUAGUGUGCAACGUAGAAGUUUACCUGACGGUAAACGACUGGGACGCCGGCAUAGUAAGUUAAAACUUUGGACCGUAGAGCUCAACCAGCGGCCUGAUCAUUAUAACUAUAGCAGAUGGUCUAUGUAAGACGAUGUCUGUACCGGGCUAAAGUCUCUAAGGUCACUUCGACGUUUAUGUGUCUAGGAAUGAAGGGAACUCAGAGACCUAAUGUAACAUCAACGAACAGAGGGACCCUAUUCGCUCCUCAAGGACAAAGCUCCCCGUAACUACGGUUAAAAACCUAACUUAACCUAUUCACGAGAUCGUUGACCACAUAAAAAGCCACAAGAAGUGAACCCGUUGCCGUCCUCUAUAAGUAAACGUUAGACCCGUUGUAAACAACCGGAACGGAUACCGAAUCGUUGGUAUCGAAGGAGUUCGUAGUAUCAGGGUUACCGAAGAGUGAGGUAUUUGUUAUAAUAACCUCCAAAUGAAACCGCGAAGUCCCUGUCGAGUCUGUCUCUUUACAUCUAACCUGUCAUAAAGGGGAACUUGUCUUCAAAAGUAAGCGUUGAAGAUGAACAUCGUGAUCGUAUCUUACAAAUCAAGAAUGACCUGAGCAACAAUUUAGUCAAUUACGUACAUAAUAGGCACCCAUUCAUUAGAAGUUUAGUAAACCACCACUUCAUUCGAUUGAUCACUACUGACAAAA
Molecule: ribosomal RNA, 1303 nt
Filed under: Triticum aestivum (bread wheat)
Lineage: Eukaryota; Viridiplantae; Streptophyta; Magnoliopsida; Poales; Poaceae
Description: partial small subunit ribosomal RNA
Source: RNAcentral